GAUCCUGGCUCAGGAUGAACGCUGGCGGCGUGCCUAACACAUGCAAGUCGAACGAAGCACCUUUUAAGAUUCUUCGGAUGAUUGAUCGGUGACUGAGUGGCGGACGGGUGAGUAACGCGUGGGUAACCUGCCCUGUACAGGGGGAUAACAGUUGGAAACGGCUGCUAAUACCGCAUAAGCGCACGGGAGGACAUCCUCUUGUGUGAAAAACUCCGGUGGUACAGGAUGGGCCCGCGUCUGAUUAG
This 245-nucleotide ribosomal RNA is filed under the name uncultured bacterium. Its description in RNAcentral is "partial 16S ribosomal RNA". It matches the Rfam family "Bacterial small subunit ribosomal RNA", at positions 15 to 244 of the family's 1533-position model. The record is from RNAcentral.